CGGUUCGGCCGCCUCCGCCGCGACCGGCGCACGGGUGAGUAACACGUAUGCAACCUGGCCGCGGACGGGACACCGGGAAACCCGGACUAAUACCCGGCGGGGCCUGGAGGGGGCAUCCACCGUCCCGGUUGAAGGAGGCGACUCCGCCGCGGGAUGGGCAUGCGGCGCAUUAGCUUGUUGGCGGGGCAACGGCCCACCAAGGCGACGAUGCGUAGGGGUUCUGAGAGGAAGGUCCCCCACACUGGAACCGAGACACGGUCCAGACUCCUACGGGAGGCAGCAG
Molecule: ribosomal RNA, 283 nt
Filed under: uncultured bacterium
Lineage: Bacteria
Description: partial 16S ribosomal RNA
Rfam family: Bacterial small subunit ribosomal RNA
Source: RNAcentral